AUUGAACGCUGGCGGCAGGCCUAACACAUGCAAGUCGAACGGUAACAGGAAGAAGCUUGCUUCUUUGCUGACGAGUGGCGGACGGGUGAGUAAUGUCUGGGAAACUGCCUGAUGGAGGGGGAUAACUACUGGAAACGGUAGCUAAUACCGCAUAACGUCGCAAGACCAAAGAGGGGGACAUUCGGGCCUCUUGCCAUCGGAUGUGCCCAGAUGGGAUUAGCUAGUAGGUGGGGUAACGGCUCACCUAGGCGACGAUCCCUAGCUGGUCUGAGAGGAUGACCAGCCACACUGGAACUGAGACACGGUCCAGACUCCUACGGGAGGCAGCAGUGGGGAAUAUUGCACAAUGGGCGCAAGCCUGAUGCAGCCAUGCCGCGUGUAUGAAGAAGGCCUUCGGGUUGUAAAGUACUUUCAGCGGGGAGGAAGGGAGUAAAGUUAAUACCUUUACUCAUUGACGUUACCCGCAGAAGAAGCACCGGCUAACUCCGUG
RNAcentral lists this ribosomal RNA (490 nucleotides) under uncultured bacterium. Its description in RNAcentral is "partial 16S ribosomal RNA". It matches the Rfam family "Bacterial small subunit ribosomal RNA", at positions 30 to 507 of the family's 1533-position model. The record is from RNAcentral.